This 468-nucleotide ribosomal RNA is filed under the name uncultured bacterium. Its description in RNAcentral is "partial 16S ribosomal RNA". It matches the Rfam family "Bacterial small subunit ribosomal RNA", at positions 28 to 507 of the family's 1533-position model. The record is from RNAcentral.
GACGAACGCUGGCGGCGUGCUUAACACAUGCAAGUCGAACGGAAAGGCCCUGCUUUUGUGGGGUGCUCGAGUGGCGAACGGGUGAGUAACACGUGAGUAACCUGCCCUUGACUUUGGGAUAACUUCAGGAAACUGGGGCUAAUACCGGAUAGGAGCUCCUGCUGCAUGGUGGGGGUUGGAAAGUUUCGGCGGUUGGGGAUGGACUCGCGGCUUAUCAGCUUGUUGGUGGGGUAGUGGCUUACCAAGGCUUUGACGGGUAGCCGGCCUGAGAGGGUGACCGGCCAGAUGGGGAGGGAGAUGCGGCCGAGGCGCCUGGGGGGGGAAGCAGUGGGGAUUUGGGCAAAAUGGGCGGAGGCUUGAGGCAGCCACGCGGCGGGGGGGAGGAGGGCGUUGGGGUUGUAAACCGCUUUCGCCGGGGAAGAGGGGUGAGGGAAGGGAAUGGAAAAAGAAGAACGGGAUACAUAUGGG